This is a long non-coding RNA of Oreochromis niloticus (Nile tilapia), 721 nucleotides long. RefSeq lists it as uncharacterized. The record is from RefSeq and is a predicted model, not a curated record. The transcript is spliced from 3 exons. Lineage: Eukaryota; Metazoa; Chordata; Actinopteri; Cichliformes; Cichlidae.
ACAGCAGCCUCUACAUGGUGCGAAGCCUACUGCAACAAAAACGUGAUCUUAGUGUCUUUGCAACUGAGCACACUCUACCAGCAACACUGACAGCUCACCAGUGGGAGCUGAUAGAUAAGACUGCUGAUGUGCUCUCAUCCAUUGAAGAGCUGACCAGAAACGUGAACAGAAAGACUGCAACUGCACCUGAUGGGAUCCCUGCCAUAACAGAUGUGUUCUGUCCAGUGAAGGCAGUGGAGAAGCCCUAAACUGAUGUUGAAACUGUGCCACUCUUCUAGAAACCAGCUACAAGGAUGGGCAGCUGUUUUUGCAAAGUCAGCCAACCUCUUGCUUCCAAAUGACCCUUAUCCAGAAGUAUCCGUGAGUGCCUCAUCAACAGAAAUUAAAGUGGAGACCUACCUCUCAGAGAAAAACGCACACAUAAGAAAAGCGACCCACUUCAGUACUGGAAAGAACAUCCUAAUCUGUUUCCCUCUAUGGCUGCUGUUGUGAUCCCAGUGUGCCACCUGUAGCUCUGUGGACAGUUUUUGAUUUGUUUACAUCUCACCCCAACCGGUCGCGGCAGAUGGCUGCACCUCCCUGAGCCUGGUUCUGCCGGAGGUUUCUUCCUGUCAAAAGGGAGUUUUUCCUUCCCACUGUCGCCAAAGUGCUUGCUCAUAGGGGGUCAUAUGAUUGUUGGGUUUAUCUAUAUACAUUAAUGCUUGCAUGCUUUUCAUUUAUA